AAAUUGAAGAGUUUGAUCAUGGCUCAGAUUGAACGCUGGCGGCAGGCCUAACACAUGCAAGUCGAACGGUAACAGGAAGCAGCUUGCUGCUUCGCUGACGAGUGGCGGACGGGUGAGUAAUGUCUGGGAAACUGCCUGAUGGAGGGGGAUAACUACUGGAAACGGUAGCUAAUACCGCAUAACGUCGCAAGACCAAAGAGGGGGACCUUCGGGCCUCUUGCCAUCGGAUGUGCCCAGAUGGGAUUAGCUUGUUGGUGGGGUAACGGCUCACCAAGGCGACGAUCCCUAGCUGGUCUGAGAGGAUGACCAGCCACACUGGAACUGAGACACGGUCCAGACUCCUACGGGAGGCAGCAGUGGGGAAUAUUGCACAAUGGGCGCAAGCCUGAUGCAGCCAUGCCGCGUGUAUGAAGAAGGCCUUCGGGUUGUAAAGUACUUUCAGCGGGGAGGAAGGGAGUAAAGUUAAUACCUUUGCUCAUUGACGUUACCCGCAGAAGAAGCACCGGCUAACUCCGUGCCAGCAGCCGCGGUAAUACGGAGGGUGCAAGCGUUAAUCGGAAUUACUGGGCGUAAAGCGCACGCAGGCGGUUUGUUAAGUCAGAUGUGAAAUCCCCGGGCUCAAC
This 623-nucleotide ribosomal RNA is filed under the name Shigella sonnei. RNAcentral's name for it is "bacterial SSU rRNA". It matches the Rfam family "Bacterial small subunit ribosomal RNA", at positions 1 to 613 of the family's 1533-position model. Lineage: Bacteria; Pseudomonadati; Pseudomonadota; Gammaproteobacteria; Enterobacterales; Enterobacteriaceae. The record is from RNAcentral.